GAUGAACGCUGGCGGCGUGCCUAACACAUGCAAGUCGAACGAAGCGCUUUGAAGUUUUCGGACAGAUGAGUGACUGAGUGGCGGACGGGUGAGUAACGCGUGGGUAACCUGCCUCAUACAGGGGGAUAACAGUUAGAAAUGACUGCUAAUACCGCAUAAGUGCACAGCUUCGCAUGAAGCAGUGUAAAAAACUCCGGUGGUAUGAGAUGGACCCGCGUCUGAUUAGCUAGUUGUGGGGUAACGGCCUACCAAGGCGACGAUCAGUAGCCGGCCUGAGAGGGUGAACGGCCACAUUGGGACUGAGACACGGGCCCAAACUCCUACGGGAGCAGCAGUGGGGAAUAUUGCACAAUGGGGGAAACCCUGAUGCAGCGACGCCGCGUGAGUGAAGAGUAUUUCGGUAUGUAAAGCUCUAUCAGCAGGG
RNAcentral lists this ribosomal RNA (424 nucleotides) under uncultured bacterium. RNAcentral's name for it is "bacterial SSU rRNA". It matches the Rfam family "Bacterial small subunit ribosomal RNA", at positions 28 to 444 of the family's 1533-position model. The record is from RNAcentral.